This 1196-nucleotide long non-coding RNA is filed under the name Zonotrichia albicollis (white-throated sparrow). RNAcentral describes it as "lncRNA (ENSZALG00000002064.1)". Lineage: Eukaryota; Metazoa; Chordata; Aves; Passeriformes; Passerellidae. The record is from RNAcentral.
UCCCCGCCUGUUUCCAAUCCAACCCUCUGUCAUCUCUCUCUUUCCUGCCACUCCCUCCUUUCCCUUUUGCAGCCCCCUGUAUCCUCCUGCUACCCCCUGUGUCCCCUCCAUGCCCCAUUGCCCCCUUCCUCCACAGUGACCCAUCCCUCCCCCUGGCCUCCCAGUCAGUCGCACCUCUUGGAGCUCCAUGCUCAAUGGGGACAACUUGGGGACAUUCAGGGGGUCGAAUGAGCCUUGGGAUGUCCUUGAUGGCUCUUUGGCACUGCUUGGCCACCCCACAGGAGCAGGGGCUGUCAAGACCACCAUUGAAAAAGAAUUUGAUUGUGUCUGGAAGUGUCUUCCCCAGGUGAUCCUUGGCCAGGCGGGCGUUGGCCUCCCACAGCCGCUCGGCCACGGCCACCUUGGCCACCAAGUCCUCAGGGACAUUAAGGGAUUGCUUCUUUGUCUCCUUCAGGAUGCCUUCGGUGUCCCUGAGCAGGCACUGCAGCUCCCGGGGGAACGCGGUGGCUUCGUCACACGCGGCCACCAAGCGCUCCAGCAGCCCCAGGGCCACCUCCACCCGCUGUCUCACCAUGGUGGCCCUUGUUUACUCGCUGGCAGCCACCCUGGCCUCUCUCCUCACCUGGGCUCCAUGCCCAGCCACCACCUCGGCCCCCUCCUCCCAGCCCAGGGCCUGACCCAGCUCCACCAUGUUUUCCUGAGCUGUCCCAUCACAGGCAGCCUCUUCCUGCAGCUCCCUGGCCCAGGUGGUGGCUGUGGCCGCCCUGUCGGCCGCCUUGGUGGCCAAAUCCCUGCAGGUGCUGUGGAGCUCAGUGGCUGUCCUGGCCAGCUCAGCCCAGCUAUUCAUCAGCACAGACACCGACCCCUGCCACUCGCUGGCUGCCAUUGUCACAUGGUUCCGGGGGAUCCCUGGGGUGCUCUUGUAGGCAGCCAGGGCCCGGCUCAGGGAGGUGACAGGGUCAUCAUCAUCUGAUGUGACAUUGCCUCCAGGUGUCAUCAGUGCUGUAGAGGGUGUCCCAGAGGUUGCUGGUGAAAACUUCCAGAUACCCAUACAGGCACCCUGGGAACACGAGCAGAUUCAUCUCCUCGUCCUGCCUGGGCAGGGUGCCCAGCAGCUCACCCAGGAUGGCCACAACAGUGACCUCUGGCUGCAGCAGGGCCGGGGACAGCUGGAGAGGGGACAGGAGAGGAGUCAG